UUCAGCUCCUCAGCUUCCUCUUCCUCUGGAUCUCUGGUUAAUGAAACAAUUCCUCUUCCCCAUGUCCCUAGGUUCUCCACAUCUCCACAAAAAUAUAGUUUCAUAAAGAAUUGAUUUUCCUCAUUCUCUCCAAAUAUGAUGUAGUUGAUUUAUGUUUUUUACUUUCCUCCAUAAUCAGAUGCUAGGACAGAAACGAUACUCACUCAGUCUCCGGCGAGUGAGUCAGCGACUCCAGGAGACAAAGUCACCAUCUCCUGCAAAGCCAGCCAAGACAUUGAUGAUGAUAUGAACUGGUACCAACAGGAGCCAGAAGAAGCUCCUAAACUCAUUAUUAAAGAUGCUACUACUCGCGUUUCUGGAAUCCCACCUCAAUUCAGUGGCAGUGGUUUCUGCUGCCCCCAUGCUGUGCCUGACACACUUGAUAUGGCAGAGACUAGGACAGCCUUCCUCACAUUGUCCAGCUGUGCCAAUAAUCUCAUUUCCGAGCAGGGCGUAUCAGCUUCCUUGCCGUUGUUUCCCUAUAGUCUCCACCUACAGAACUUUCAUGUGUAUGUGUUCAAAACCUGUGGCUUCUAAUGAGACUUUGAGGUCUACCCAAAACUACACCUGACUCUACAACCUUUAAUGAGUACUAAGUUUAGUAUUUAAUAGCCAUCAAACAAAGAAAGCAGUGGAAGUAAGGGGAGC
This is a non-coding RNA of Rhinopithecus roxellana (golden snub-nosed monkey), 687 nucleotides long. The record is from the annotation of a RefSeq genome assembly. Lineage: Eukaryota; Metazoa; Chordata; Mammalia; Primates; Cercopithecidae.